UACGUAGGGUGCAAGCGUUGUCCGGAAUUAUUGGGCGUAAAGAGCUCGUAGGCGGUUUGUCGCGUCUGCUGUGAAAACCGGAGGCUCAACCUCCGGCCUGCAGUGGGUACGGGCAGACUAGAGUGCGGUAGGGGAGAUUGGAAUUCCCGGUGUAGCGGUGGAAUGCGUAGAGAUCGGGAAGAACAUCAGUGGCGAAGGCGGCCUGCUGGGCUGUUGCUGACGCUGAGGCGCGACAGCGUGGGGAGCAAACAGG
This 253-nucleotide ribosomal RNA is filed under the name uncultured bacterium. RNAcentral describes it as "partial 16S ribosomal RNA". It matches the Rfam family "Bacterial small subunit ribosomal RNA", at positions 524 to 776 of the family's 1533-position model. The record is from RNAcentral.